RNAcentral lists this ribosomal RNA (500 nucleotides) under uncultured bacterium. RNAcentral describes it as "bacterial SSU rRNA". It matches the Rfam family "Bacterial small subunit ribosomal RNA", at positions 30 to 518 of the family's 1533-position model. The record is from RNAcentral.
UGAACGCUAGCGACAGGCUAACACAUGCAAGUCGAGGGGCGAUCACGGGAGUAGCAAUACAACUGGUGGCGACCGGCGCGACGGGUGAGUAACGCGUAUGCAACCUACCUAUCAGAGGGGAAUAACCCGGCGAAAGUCGGACUAAUACCGCAUAAAACAGGGGCACCGCAUGGUGAUAUUUGUUAAAGAAAUUCGCUGAUAGAUGGGCAUGCGUUCCAUUAGGUAGUUGGUGAGGUAACGGCUCACCAAGCCGACGAUGGAUAGGGGAACUGAGAGGUUGGUCCCCCACACUGGUACUGAGACACGGACCAGACUCCUACGGGAGGCAGCAGUGAGGAAUAUUGGUCAAUGGGCGGGAGCCUGAACCAGCCAAGUCGCGUGAAGGAAAAGAAGGAUCUAUGGUUCGUAAACUUCUUUUGCAGGGGAAUAAAGUGCAGGACGUGUCCUGUUUUGUAUGUACCCUGAGAAUAAGGAUCGGCUAACUCCGUGCCAGCAGCAGC